Long non-coding RNA from Raphanus sativus (radish), 1790 nucleotides. RefSeq lists it as uncharacterized. Lineage: Eukaryota; Viridiplantae; Streptophyta; Magnoliopsida; Brassicales; Brassicaceae. The record is from RefSeq and is a predicted model, not a curated record. The transcript is spliced from 7 exons.
UAUCACGGCUGUUGCACUUCACCUUCAUUGUCUCUGCAAAUCGCGGUUUCACCUUAACAGUGUAGUUAAUUCUAUUCAUUUCUCCUUUCAUCCUGAGAGAUGUUGACGUUCCGACUCCUGUUGUCUCUAUCCCUAUAUAAACUCUUCAUCAAAUGUCAGCUCGAAAUACGUUCUACAAACUCCAGACAACCACAUCAAGCGCUGGCCAUGAAGUCAUGGGUUUCAUGUUUUCAUCGACGAGUAGGGGUUGAUCCAGGAAAUUCCGGAACCGGGUCUUCUGAAUCAUCCAUGUCCAUUAUGCUUCAUCUGGAUUCGAGGAGAACUAGGAGAGGUCGAACCGAUAGAGGGAGGUCAAGUUGCAGAUAAGAAGCGCUUAUGAAUUGAUGGUACGAAUUAAUGGAACGAGAGCUGAACCAAGGUUUUGCGCAAAGGGUCUUUGCACCACAUAUCUUAUAUUUAAUCACAUAUAAGAUACAAAGUAAAAGGUCGUCAGAAAAAUACGAUAUCCUGAACAACUUAGGAAAUAGUACGAAAAGGUUCACAACUACUCAUCAGACAUCCAGGAAAUCGGUAAAUAUGUUUAGGAGAGUAAAGUAUGGCCUUUUCGAGAUCCAACCAGAAAGAGCCACGGACCGUUAUCAUGAGUGUCGCUCUGCGUCUCUGCCGAUGGAAAUCUUGUGGUCAUUUUCCCCACUGUGGAAGCUCUCAUGUCUUUGGUGAAAAUAUGCGCUUUGGUGGACUCUUUUGCUGCAAAAACAGUGUUUUUUUUUAAGAUUGCUUGGAACAUGUCAAGAGACCUUUUGUCCUUGACUACUAGAUUUUGUGAAGGCUUAAAAUUCUAAUCUUUUCCUGCAGAGUACUAUCUUUAUAUAAAAUAGAUAUUAAGAUGCCAAAUGAACUGAUUUUCCCUGUCUUUUUAUAUACUGAUGCAGACGUACGGUAACGGAACAAUGCACAUCAACAUACACGAUGGUUAAUGUGAAAGAAUAAAUAAGAACGAGGACAUACUAGGCGGAUCAAAAAGCACCACCGUUGGUGAAGCAAAAGGCACGUCUGUCACUCUUGCAAGUUGGGAGUCCCAUGUAGAAUCAUCUCGCCUUCCAACACUUUGAAAAAGACAACAGUAGAUAAAUCAAAAUGGAAGCGCUGGAGCAAUGAGGAACAUUAAUGGUGGAAGAUACAUUAAUGAAAUUGUUUCUGAAGUUGAUAGAGAAAAUUUUUGUGCUUUACAUUUUCAGCAUUCUCACAUUGCUUCUCUAAUGGCUGGGAAUUUGGUUUGGAUUCAGACUUUCAGAGCAGUGGAGCUUCGUCGCUUCUUCCUCUUUGUGUCACAUCUAUAGAAACGUCUGUUUUGUUCCAUCUUCAGCCUCCUCUACGGCUUCUCGGUGGAAUGUCCAACUUCAUACAUUUUACACAUGGAUGCUAACAACAUGCUAUAGUAAAUAAGGAUGAAGAGACAUAAAUCUUCUAAUGGACACGAGAGACACAACAGGUCUGCACGUCAGAUUGUCUCUACAUUGGGCUACAUCCAUAAGAUUCUUUUUCAAACUUGUGCAGGAGCUGAGUUGCUUUAUCUACCCUUUUAUCAAAUCCAAUGAAUUCAGUUUCCAGUUUUGAAGAAGGCAAGAGUACAACUUUGGAAAAACAAGAGUGUAACUUCCAGCUCAAGAAUUGAUAUGUAGAUGAUAGAGCACAAGUGUAUUAUUAUUGUAUUUGAGGGAAUUACAAUCUGAGGAUCUCUAAUGAGUACGUUAUAUAAAAUUCAGUCGUUGACUAACUGAUUCUAACGA